This 72-nucleotide transfer RNA is filed under the name Nanobdellota archaeon. Its description in RNAcentral is "tRNA-Met". It matches the Rfam family "tRNA". Rfam says of the family: Transfer RNA (tRNA) molecules are approximately 80 nucleotides in length. Their secondary structure includes four short double-helical elements and three loops (D, anti-codon, and T loops). Lineage: Archaea; Nanobdellati; Nanobdellota. The record is from RNAcentral.
GGCUGUGUAGUUCAGUGGUAGAACGCAUGUCUCAUAAGCAUGAGGUCGGGAGUUCAAUUCUCCCUACAGCCA